UACGGAGGAUUCGAGCGUUAUCCGGAUUUAUUGGGUUUAAAGGGUGCGUGGGCGGACUGGUAAGUCAGCUGUGAAAGUUUACGGCUCAACCGUGAAAUUGCAGUUGAUACUGUUGGUCUUGAGUAUACAUGAGGUGGGCGGAAUUUGUGGUGUAGCGGUGAAAUGCUUAGAUAUCACAAAGAACUCCAAUUGCGAAGGCAGUCUUCUGGGCCAUGAUUGACGCUGAGGCUCGAAAGCGUGGGUAGCAAACAGG
This 253-nucleotide ribosomal RNA is filed under the name uncultured bacterium. Its description in RNAcentral is "partial 16S ribosomal RNA". It matches the Rfam family "Bacterial small subunit ribosomal RNA", at positions 524 to 776 of the family's 1533-position model. The record is from RNAcentral.